CCGGUCUCCAAAGCAUCCUCCUUGGGAAAGGACAGUCAGCAUCUAUCAGCUCCUGGAAGGAGUGCCUCUCCACAGCGGUGCCGUGAAGGACUCACAGAUGCAUGAAACCCUGGAGCUACCAGGAAACAGGUCAGCCAGCUCAGCUCUCCACCUCCAGCAAACUUGGCAGACCUUCAGGUGGCCUGUGCUCUCUCCAUGACCGUGAACUCAGUCCCUCAAGCCAGUCCCUCCAGUAUCCACAGGCACCAGGGAAACAGUCACACAGAUAACAGCCUCGGCUCCUGACCUGGCUGGCACUGCUGGAGCCCCCACCAUGCUUCAUUGAGCAACGUGAGCCCCUCGGUAAUCCUGUUAAGCCUCCAGGGCGGUGAGUCAUUUUCCUACCACCCAAACACCUUCCUGUCGUGUCCCGGCAGGGAGAGGCGCUCCAGCCAGAACGUUAAGACUU
Camelus dromedarius (Arabian camel) is the source of this 448-nucleotide long non-coding RNA. RefSeq lists it as uncharacterized. The record is from RefSeq and is a predicted model, not a curated record. Lineage: Eukaryota; Metazoa; Chordata; Mammalia; Artiodactyla; Camelidae. The transcript has 3 exons.